AGUGAACGCUGGCGGUAGGCCUAACACAUGCAAGUCGAACGGCAGCACAGUAAGAGCUUGCUCUUACGGGUGGCGAGUGGCGGACGGGUGAGGAAUACAUCGGAAUCUACUUUUUCGUGGGGGAUAACGUAGGGAAACUUACGCUAAUACCGCAUACGACCUACGGGUGAAAGCAGGGGAUCUUCGGACCUUGCGCGAUUGAAUGAGCCGAUGUCGGAUUAGCUAGUUGGCGGGGUAAAGGCCCACCAAGGCGACGAUCCGUAGCUGGUCUGAGAGGAUGAUCAGCCACACUGGAACUGAGACACGGUCCAGACUCCUACGGGAGGCAGCAGUGGAGAAUAUUGGACAAUGGGCGCAAGCCUGAUCCAGCCAUACCGCGUGGGUGAAGAAGGCCUUCGGGUUGUAAAGCCCUUUUGUUGGGAAAGAAGAGCAGCAGGUUAAUACCCCGCUGUUCUGACGGUACCCAAAGAAUAAGCACCGGCUAACUUCGUG
RNAcentral lists this ribosomal RNA (492 nucleotides) under uncultured bacterium. RNAcentral's name for it is "partial 16S ribosomal RNA". It matches the Rfam family "Bacterial small subunit ribosomal RNA", at positions 29 to 507 of the family's 1533-position model. The record is from RNAcentral.